CGGACGGGUGAGUAACGCGUAGGAACCUGUCAUUGAGUGGGGGAUAACGCUGGGAAACCGGCGCUAAUACCGCAUGUGGUCCUUUGGGGAGACCUGAAGGAAGAAAGCAGAGAUGCGCUCGAUGAGGGGCCUGCGUCCGAUUAGUUAGUUGGUGGGGUAAAGGCCUACCAAGGCGUCGAUCGGUAGCUGGUCUGAGAGGAUGGUCAGCCACACUGGGACUGAGACACGGCCCAG
This 234-nucleotide ribosomal RNA is filed under the name uncultured bacterium. RNAcentral describes it as "partial 16S ribosomal RNA". It matches the Rfam family "Bacterial small subunit ribosomal RNA", at positions 99 to 334 of the family's 1533-position model. The record is from RNAcentral.